Molecule: ribosomal RNA, 1204 nt
Filed under: uncultured eukaryote
Lineage: Eukaryota
Description: SSU rRNA
Rfam family: Eukaryotic small subunit ribosomal RNA
Source: RNAcentral
CGGUAAUUCCAGCUCCAAUAGCGUAUAUUAAAGUUGUUGCCGUUAAAAAGCUCGUAGUCGAACUUCGGCCUUUGCCGCCCGGUCCGCCCUAUGGGUGUGUACUGGAGCGGUGGAGGCUUACCUCGUGGUGAACGGCCAUGCUCUUUACUGGGUGUGGUCGGGAACCAUGAUUUUUACUUUGAAAAAACUAGAGUGUUCAAAGCAGGCUUACGCCCGAAUACAUUAGCAUGGAAUAAUAAAAUAGGACGUGCGGUUCUAUUUUGUUGGUUUCUAGAAUCGCCGUAAUGAUUAAUAGGGAUAGUUGGGGGCAUUCGUAUCCAAUUGCUAGAGGUGAAAUUCUUGGAUUUAUUGAAGACGAACUACUGCGAAAGCAUUUGCCAAGGAUGUUUUCAUUGAUCAAGAACGAAGGUUAGGGGAUCGAAAACGAUCAGAUACCGUUGUAGUCUUAACAGUAAACGAUGCCGACUAGGGAUCGGACGGGGAUUUUUAAUGACUCGUUCGGCACCUGAAGAGAAAUCUUUAAGUCUAGGUUCGGGGGGGAGUAUGGUCGCAAGGCUGAAACUUAAAGGAAUUGACGGAAGGGCACCACCAGGUGUGGAGCCUGCGGCUUAAUUUGACUCAACACGGGGAAACUCACCAGGUCCAGACACGACAAGGAUUGACAGAUUGAUAGCUCUUUCUUGAUUUCGUGGUUGGUGGUGCAUGGCCGUUCUUAGUUGGUGGAGUGAUUUGUCUGGUUAAUUCCGAUAACGAACGAGACCUUAACCUGCUAAAUAGCCCGGCCGACUUUGGUUGGUCGCUGGCUUCUUAGAGGGACUAUCAGCGUUUAGCUGAUGGAAGUUUGAGGCAAUAACAGGUCUGUGAUGCCCUUAGAUGUUCUGGGCCGCACGCGCGCUACACUGACCGAACCAGCGAGUUUAUCACCUUGGCCGGAAGGCCUGGGUAAUCUUGUGAAACUCGGUCGUGAUGGGGAUAGAGCAUUGCAAUUAUUGCUCUUCAACGAGGAACACCUAGUAAGCGUGAGUCAUCAGCUCGCGUUGAAUUCGUCCCUGCCCUUUGUACACACCGCCCGUCGCUACUACCGAUUGAAUGGCUUAGUGAGGUCUCCGGAUUGGCUUCUGGGAGCCGGCAACGGCACCUAGUCGCUGAGAAGUUGAACGAACUUGGUCAUUUAGAGGAAGUAAAAGUCGUAACAAGGUAGCCG